RNAcentral lists this long non-coding RNA (397 nucleotides) under Phoenix dactylifera (date palm). Its description in RNAcentral is "long non-coding RNA (PDAC_LNC022832)". Lineage: Eukaryota; Viridiplantae; Streptophyta; Magnoliopsida; Arecales; Arecaceae. The record is from RNAcentral.
GGAGUUCGGGCUCUGAGAUUCGAGUCGACUCCCAGGACAGUCGAGUCGACUCGAGUGGACAAAAUUCAAAAUUGGAUCCACGGACUUCAGUGGAUGAGCCGACUCCAAAAUUGCCAAGUCAGCUCCAGAAGUUGACGAGUCGACUCCAGGUCAAGACGAGUCAACUCCCAGUCGUGAAGGCAACUUUAAUUCAAAUUUGGAACAGUUGCCAAGUCGACUCCGGAAAAGCUUGAGUCGACUCCCGCUACAGCCGAGUCGACUCCUGAUCGCACGAGUCGACUCCAACCCACCAACGGUCAUAUUGUCAGGCUGCGCAGAGUGUUCAGAACGGGCAGAAAAAGCACUCUAACGGCUAGUUUCCGUGGGGGUUGGCUUAAAUAGCCACAGAGGACUGUAG